GACGAACGCUGGCGGCGUGCCUAAUACAUGCAAGUCGAGCGAAGUUUUUCUGGUGCUUGCACCGGAAAAACUUAGCGGCGAACGGGUGAGUAACACGUAAAGAACCUGCCUCAUAGACUGGGACAACUAUUGGAAACGAUAGCUAAUACCGGAUAAUAGCAUUAACUGCAUGGUUGAUGUUUAAAAGUUGGUUUUGCUAACACUAUGAGAUGGCUUUUCGGUGCAUUAGCUAGUUGGUGGGGUAAAGGCCUACCAAGGCGACGAUGCAUAGCCGACCUGAGAGGGUGAUCGGCCACACUGGGACUGAGACACGGCCCAGACUCCUACGGGAGGCAGCAGUAGGGAAUCUUCCGCAAUGGGCGAAAGCCUGACGGAGCAACGCCGCGUGAGUGAAGAAGGAUUUCGGUUCGUAAAGCUCUGUUGUUAGGGAAGAAUGAUUGUGUAGUAACGAUACACAGUAGAGACGGUACCUAACCAGAAAGCCACGGCUAACUACGUG
RNAcentral lists this ribosomal RNA (499 nucleotides) under uncultured bacterium. Its description in RNAcentral is "partial 16S ribosomal RNA". It matches the Rfam family "Bacterial small subunit ribosomal RNA", at positions 28 to 507 of the family's 1533-position model. The record is from RNAcentral.